This 495-nucleotide ribosomal RNA is filed under the name uncultured bacterium. RNAcentral's name for it is "partial 16S ribosomal RNA". It matches the Rfam family "Bacterial small subunit ribosomal RNA", at positions 28 to 507 of the family's 1533-position model. The record is from RNAcentral.
GACGAACGCUGGCGGCGUGCCUAAUACAUGCAAGUAGAACGCUGAAGGAGGAGCUUGCUUCUCUGGAUGAGUUGCGAACGGGUGAGUAACGCGUAGGUAACCUGCCUGGUAGCGGGGGAUAACUAUUGGAAACGAUAGCUAAUACCGCAUAAUAGUAGAUGUUGCAUGACAUUUGCUUAAAAGGUGCAAUUGCAUCACUACCAGAUGGACCUGCGUUGUAUUAGCUAGUUGGUGAGGUAACGGCUCACCAAGGCAACGAUACAUAGCCGACCUGAGAGGGUGAUCGGCCACACUGGGACUGAGACACGGCCCAGACUCCUACGGGAGGCAGCAGUAGGGAAUCUUCGGCAAUGGACGGAAGUCUGACCGAGCAACGCCACGUGAGUGAAGAAGGUUUUCGGAUCGUAAAGCUCUGUUGUAAGAGAAGAACGAGUGUGAGAGUGGAAAGUUCACACUGUGACGGUAUCUUACCAGAAAGGGACGGCUAACUACGUG